RNAcentral lists this ribosomal RNA (468 nucleotides) under uncultured bacterium. RNAcentral's name for it is "bacterial SSU rRNA". It matches the Rfam family "Bacterial small subunit ribosomal RNA", at positions 32 to 501 of the family's 1533-position model. The record is from RNAcentral.
AAUCAACGCUGGCGGCGUGCCUAACACAUGCAAGUCGAACGCGAAAGUCCCGCAAGGGAUUAGUAGAGUGGCAAACGGGUGAGUAACACGUGGGUGACCUGCCUUCGAGCGGGGGAUAACGUCCCGAAAGGGACGCUAAUACCGCAUAACAUCCUGCCUUUUAAGAGGUGGAGAUCAAAGCCGGGGAUCGCAAGACCUGGCACUUGAAGAGGGGCCCGCGCCUGAUUAGCUAGUUGGGAGGUAACGGCUCACCAAGGCGACGAUCAGUAGCUGGUCUGAGAGGAUGAUCAGCCACAUUGGGACUGAGACACGGCCCAAACUCCUACGGGAGGCAGCAGUGGGGAAUAUUGGACAAUGGGCGCAAGCCUGAUCCAGCCAUGCCGCGUGAGUGAUGAAGGCCCUAGGGUUGUAAAGCUUCUUUUGUGCGGGAAGAUAAUGACGGUACCGCAAGAAUAAGCCCCGGCUAAC